GAUGAACGCUGGCGGCGUGCCUAAUACAUGCAAGUCGAGCGAACGGACGAGAAGCUUGCUUCUCUGAUGUUAGCGGCGGACGGGUGAGUAACACGUGGAUAACCUACCUAUAAGACUGGGAUAACUUCGGGAAACCGGAGCUAAUACCGGAUAAUAUUUUGAACCGCAUGGUUCAAAAGUGAAGGACGGUCUUGCUGUCACUUAUAGAUGGAUCCGCGCUGCAUUAGCUAGUUGGUAAGGUAACGGCUUACCAAGGCAACGAUGCAUAGCCGACCUGAGAGGGUGAUCGGCCACACUGGAACUGAGACACGGUCCAGACUCCUACGGGAGGCAGCAGUAGGGAAUCUUCCGCAAUGGGCGGAAGCCUGACGGAGCAACGCCGCGUGAGUGAUGAAGGUCUUCGGAUCGUAAAACUCUGUUAUUAGGGAAGAACAUAUGUGUAAGUAACUGUGCACAUCUUGACGGUACCUAAUCAGAAAGCCACGGCUAACUACGUG
RNAcentral lists this ribosomal RNA (497 nucleotides) under uncultured bacterium. RNAcentral's name for it is "partial 16S ribosomal RNA". It matches the Rfam family "Bacterial small subunit ribosomal RNA", at positions 28 to 507 of the family's 1533-position model. The record is from RNAcentral.